Molecule: non-coding RNA, 123 nt
Organism: Picea glauca (white spruce)
Lineage: Eukaryota; Viridiplantae; Streptophyta; Pinopsida; Pinales; Pinaceae
Source: Rfam
AUGUAAAUGCCUACAACAUAGUGUUAAUGCAUGGGAUCCCAUUAGAACUAUGCAGUUAAGCGUUCUCGGGCUAGAGUAGUGCUGGGAUGGGUGACUGCCUGGGAAGUCCUAGUAUUUUACAUG